This 224-nucleotide ribosomal RNA is filed under the name uncultured bacterium. Its description in RNAcentral is "partial 16S ribosomal RNA". It matches the Rfam family "Bacterial small subunit ribosomal RNA", at positions 107 to 334 of the family's 1533-position model. The record is from RNAcentral.
GGCGUAACACGUGUGCAACCUGCCUUUAUCUGGGGGAUAGCCUUUCGAAGAAGAUUAAUACUCCAUAAUAUAUUGAACGGCAUCGUUUAAUAUUGAAAGCUCCGGCGGAUAGAGAUGGGCACGCGCAAGAUUAGCUAGUUGGUGAGGUAACGGCUCACCAAGGCGAUGAUCUUUAGGGGGCCUGAGAGGGUGAUCCCCCACACUGGUACUGAGACACGGACCAG